Molecule: ribosomal RNA, 253 nt
Filed under: uncultured bacterium
Lineage: Bacteria
Description: partial 16S ribosomal RNA
Rfam family: Bacterial small subunit ribosomal RNA
Source: RNAcentral
GACAGAGGGUGCAAACGUUGUUCGGAAUUACUGGGCGUAAAGCGCGUGUAGGCGGCUCGGCAAGUCGGGUGUGAAAGCCCUGGGCUUAACCUAGGAAGUGCACUCGAAACUGCCAAGCUUGAGUUCUGGAGAGGAAGGCGGAAUUCUCGGUGUAGAGGUGAAAUUCGUAGAUAUCGAGAGGAACACCGGUGGCGAAGGCGGCGUUCUGGACAGCAACUGACGCUGAGACGCGAAAGCGUGGGUAGCAAACAGG